This 322-nucleotide unclassified non-coding RNA is filed under the name soil metagenome. RNAcentral describes it as "partial contains 5.8S ribosomal RNA, internal transcribed spacer 2, and large subunit ribosomal RNA". The stretch from base 1 to 119 matches the Rfam family "5.8S ribosomal RNA", at positions 35 to 154 of the family's 154-position model. The record is from RNAcentral.
GAUGAAGAACGUAGCGAAACGCGAAAGGUAAUGCGAAUUGCAGAAUCAGUGAGUCAUCGAAUCUUUGAACGCACAUUGCGCCCUGUGGUAUUCCGCAGGGCAUGCCUGUUCGAGCGUCAUUUCAACCCUCAAGCUCUGCUUGGUGUUGGGCCCUGCCCGCUGCGGCCGGCCCUAAAGACAGUGGCGGUGCCGCCUGGCCCUGAGCGUAGCACAUCUCUCGCUCCAGUGCCCGGUGGUAGCCUGCCAGAACCCCAACUCUCGUGGUUGACCUCGGAUCAGGUAGGGAUACCCGCUGAACUUAAGCAUAUCAAUAAGCGGAGGA